ACACAGGACAACCAACUGUCUCAUUGCGAAGUCAAAUUCCGUGAUGGGUCCGUCUUUCCUAGAAUAAGGGAAGGAUACUAUAGGAUUGAUCCUAGUUCUUCUCUACGCUGGGUGCUUCACGGAUCAUAAAAAA
Molecule: unclassified non-coding RNA, 133 nt
Filed under: Dichorhavirus orchidaceae
Lineage: Riboviria; Orthornavirae; Negarnaviricota; Monjiviricetes; Mononegavirales; Rhabdoviridae
Description: Orchid fleck dichorhavirus miscellaneous RNA
Source: RNAcentral